GUGGAACAUCAAGAGUUGGGGCGACGCCCAACGCCAACCUGCCUUCCGGGCAAGGUGGCACUCCCUUCACGGGAGGAUGUGGCCGAACCGGCAAUUAAACGGAUCAUG
RNAcentral lists this non-coding RNA (108 nucleotides) under Sphingomonas sp. RNAcentral describes it as "SAM-I-IV sequence". It matches the Rfam family "SAM-I/IV (S-adenosyl methionine) riboswitch aptamer". From Rfam's summary of the family: It is found upstream of a number of genes which code for proteins involved in methionine or cysteine biosynthesis. It has been found mostly in the order Actinomycetales. Lineage: Bacteria; Pseudomonadati; Pseudomonadota; Alphaproteobacteria; Sphingomonadales; Sphingomonadaceae. RNAcentral also lists the same sequence under 1 other name. The record is from RNAcentral.